RNAcentral lists this long non-coding RNA (605 nucleotides) under Vigna radiata. RNAcentral describes it as "long non-coding RNA (VRAD_LNC007162)". Lineage: Eukaryota; Viridiplantae; Streptophyta; Magnoliopsida; Fabales; Fabaceae. The record is from RNAcentral.
GAGAUGAGAGUGUAAACUCCUAUAACCUAGUAUGAUCAAGAGGAUACAAAACCUUGUAAGAAAAGACCAUUUCCUAUCACACAAAUAAAUGUUAAUACCUAUCAUUGCAUACAUUUAACACUAUCGCUCAAUAGAGACAUCAAUUUUUAAAGUUCAUCAUUAUAAAAGAUAGAACUUAUCGCCAUGGCAGGCCUCUCGAUAACCUCCCUUGACAAUGGCAGUCUUCGUAGACAAUGACAGUGACACCAAGAACCUUCAGGUUAUGGCAACACCCUACUCACAACAUCGUCAACAUAACACGAAAAAAAAAUGGAGGUUGGAGGAGUGAAGCGCAAUAAAGGUAGGGGAAGAGAAGAGCGUGAUUUGGGAGUGAACCACAAUGAAGGUUGGGGAGUGAACCAAAACGUAGGUUAAAGAAGGGCAGAGUUGAAGGACAAUGGAGGUUAGGGAAGACUGAAUGGCAAUGAAGGUUAGGAUAGAGUAGUGAGCGUAUGAACAACGGGAAUGAAAGACAAUGUUUUUGUCAAAGUGAAAUUGUAGGAGGCAAAUGCCAAAUUCUGAUAUUAUUUUAUCGAAGCACAUACCAACGGUCACAAUCCCUCGGU